CUUUUACAGUGGCACUUCUUUUGGGAAGAAUCAUGAGUUAACCGUAAAAGGGUGAAUGUUUUUCCUGUUCAGCAUGACAGUUACUUGAGCUUUCUUUCCUUCCUUCAUUUUCCCCCCUUUUGUUACCUUGCCUUCCUUUCUCUUUGAGGCAGUAUCACAUCACUCUAUAAGAAAUCAUUGCCCUAAUUAGCAGGGCCGGUUCUAAGCCAGUUUGCUUCUAACUGUGAGAACCUGAACCGAUCAAUCCCCCUUUCCUUGUCUGUAGCUCCCUCACUUAACAAAGGGGUUCAGCCUCAAUCACAUCUGGGUAACUUUCUGUUCUAGCACUCCUUUGACUCAAAAAUGAGUCUGGAGCCCAGCAAACGGUACUUAACUCUUCAGACAUCAUGGCAAGUUGGUAGGUCAAAGUAUCCACUCCAGUGUGAGGCUAAGACCCCAAGGCCCAAUAGUUGCUAUAGAUCUUCUUUCUAACAAGGUGCCCAGGGUACCAUUAGGGCUAAUUGAGUGUUCAGAGACCACCAGUUCCCAAAAAUAAGCGAUCUUCCUCACUCCUCAACAAGUUUCAGAGGGACUAAUUAAUUAGGCAAUUUCAAAUAAGAAAACUUCCCAGGUGAUCAUUGAUGUGCAGCUCUGAAACUUAUCUCCGGAGACCCCACAAGUCACACAGCAAAGAGCACGGUUGCUAAGGACAGAGAAUGGCUUUGUAAAUUGGUGAAGGUCAACAUGACUGCUUCACUAGCUGCUGUCCUGUCUUCUUUGGAUUUAUCCCCUUAGGUUACAAAAUAAAAUAACACAAACAUACUCCAGUUCAGCCAAAGUUAGCAAACCCAGGAGAUCAAGUUAACUUGUGAAGUGGGAAGCCUGCAGAAAGGCUACCAUUUCAACCCUCUUUAUAUGGAAGAUCGGGGGUCUUUUAGAAGGAGCCUCUAGGUUAGAACAGUUCCUGAUCAUGAACAAGUUAUUUAAAACUCUUGGGUUGCAUGUCCUCCAAAUGUAAAGAGAGGCUCAGGAAGAGUAAUCCCAGUGGCGCGUUCCGCGAGCUGUCGCGUGCAUGUGCCUGGAACACGGUAAGAGUGCAGCAGCUGCUCGGCCUCAGCACUGGUAGCCGUCACCGUCAUAGCCACCACUGCCGUUUUCACCCAGGCUCUUUAUUACAUCAGCUCCUACCAGGUCCCCCUGCGUCUCCUCACCCCCUUCAUCCCGACGAUCUUGUGCAGAGCCAGCUCCCCAACUGGACGCGGCUGACACAUCAAGACCGUCAUCCCCGGACGUGCACCUCGCAGCUGCUGCCCGUGAAUUGCGUCAGUGCAGAAAUGCUGUUUGUUUUCUUCAUUUCCGUACAAAGCAACGGGAUCAGUGCCUGGCACAUAGAAGCUCAAUAA
RNAcentral lists this long non-coding RNA (1382 nucleotides) under Chinchilla lanigera (long-tailed chinchilla). Its description in RNAcentral is "lncRNA (ENSCLAG00000023431.1)". Lineage: Eukaryota; Metazoa; Chordata; Mammalia; Rodentia; Chinchillidae. The record is from RNAcentral.